RNAcentral lists this ribosomal RNA (97 nucleotides) under uncultured bacterium. Its description in RNAcentral is "partial 16S ribosomal RNA". The record is from RNAcentral.
ACGGCCUUCGGUUGUAAACCUCUUCACCAUCGGCGAAGCCCAUAGCUUUUGUUGUGGGUGACGGUAGGUGGAGAAGAAGCACCGGCCAACUACGUGC